RNAcentral lists this ribosomal RNA (396 nucleotides) under uncultured bacterium. RNAcentral's name for it is "partial 16S ribosomal RNA". It matches the Rfam family "Bacterial small subunit ribosomal RNA", at positions 338 to 731 of the family's 1533-position model. The record is from RNAcentral.
CCUACGGGUGGCAGCAGUGAGGAAUAUUGGUCAAUGGCCGUAAGGCUGAACCAGCCAAGUAGCGUGAGGGAAGACUGCCCUAUGGGUUGUAAACCUCUUUUAUGCGGGGAUAAAGGUGUCUACGUGUGGAUGUUUGCAGGUACCGUAUGAAUAAGGACCGGCUAAUUCCGUGCCAGCAGCCGCGGUAAUACGGAAGGUCCGGGCGUUAUCCGGAUUUAUUGGGGUUAAAGGGAGCGUAGGCGGGUCUUUAAGUGUGCCGGGAAAUUUUGGGGCUCAACCAGGAGAGUGCGGCGGGUACUGGAGACCUUGAGGGCGCGGGAGGUAGGCGGAAUGCGUGGUGUAGCGGUGAAAUGCUUAGAUAUCACGAAGAACCCCGAUUGCGAAGGCAGCCUACCG